AGAACGAACGCUGGCGGCAGGCUUAACACAUGCAAGUCGAACGCUCGUAGCAAUACGGGAGUGGCAGACGGGUGAGUAACGCGUGGGAACAUACCCUCCGGUUCGGAAUAGCUCAGGGAAACUUGGAUUAAUACCGGAUACGGCUGAGAGGCGAAAGAUUUAUCGCCGGAGGAUUGGCCCGCGUUCGAUUAGCUUGUUGGUGAGGUAACGGCUCACCAAGGCGAUGAUCGAUAGCUGGUCUGAGAGGAUGAUCAGCCACAUUGGGACUGAGACACGGCCCAAACUCCUACGGGAGGCAGCAGUGGGGAAUAUUGGACAAUGGGCGCAAGCCUGAUCCAGCCAUGCCGCGUGAGUGAUGACGGCCUUAGGGUUGUAAAGCUCUUUCGCUCGGGACGAUAAUGACGGUACCGAGAUAAGAAGCCCGGCUAACUUCGCGCCAGCACGCCGC
This 448-nucleotide ribosomal RNA is filed under the name uncultured bacterium. RNAcentral's name for it is "SSU rRNA". It matches the Rfam family "Bacterial small subunit ribosomal RNA", at positions 26 to 518 of the family's 1533-position model. The record is from RNAcentral.